This 1034-nucleotide ribosomal RNA is filed under the name Pithecopus gonzagai. Its description in RNAcentral is "partial large subunit ribosomal RNA". It matches the Rfam family "Bacterial large subunit ribosomal RNA", at positions 815 to 2541 of the family's 2925-position model. Lineage: Eukaryota; Metazoa; Chordata; Amphibia; Anura; Hylidae. The record is from RNAcentral.
GUAGAGGUGACAGACCUAACGAGCUUAGUGAUAGCUGGUUACUUAAGAAAAGGAUCUUAGUCCUCCCCAAAUUUUUUACAAUAUUUAUAAAUAAAAACUAAAAUUUGGAGUUAUUCAAAUAAGGUACAGCCUAUUUGAACCAGGAUACAACCUCCUCAAACGGGUAAUUAAAUCCAUAUACAGCAAAGUAGGCCUAAAAGCAGCCAUCUUCAAAAAGCGUCAAAGCUUAUCUUCAAAUUUUCAUAAUCCCCCUAAUUUUUAAAACCCCUUAAUCUUUAUUAAGUAACUCUAUAAAAUUAUAGUAUUUAUUAUGUUAAAACUAGUAACGAGAAUCAGAACUUCUCUUUAAUGUAAGUGUAAAUCAGAAUGGACAAACCACUGAUUUUUAACACUUGAAACCAAAGUAACAACCCACCAAGAAAAUCUUACCUCAAAUAGUGUUAACCUGACACAAGAACAUUCUCAGACAGAUUGAAAGGAAAAGAAGGAACUCGGCAAACAUUAACCCCGCCUGUUUACCAAAAACAUCGCCUCUUGAUAAACAUAUAAGAGGUCCAGCCUGCCCAGUGACUCUGUUCAACGGCCGCGGUAUCCUAACCGUGCGAAGGUAGCGUAAUCACUUGUUCUUUAAAUGAGGACUAGUAUGAAUGGCAUCACGAGGGUUAUACUGUCUCCUUUCCCCAAUCAGUGAAACUAAUCUCCUCGUGAAGAAGCGAGGAUAAAUAUAUAAGACGAGAAGACCCUAUGGAGCUUAAAACUUUCAGCAAUUAUCUUUUCUAUAACAACCUUAAGGUUAUUACAUCAACUCUAAUAAUAUGCCUGUCAGUUUUCGGUUGGGGUGACCGCGGAGUAAAACUUACCCUCCGCAAUGAAUAUUAAAAUUAAGCAAAAAACUACAAUUUUAUGCAUCAAAAAAUUGACAGUAUUGACCCAACACUUUGAUCAACGAACCAAGUUACCCUAGGGAUAACAGCGCAAUCCAUCUCAAGAGCUCAUAUCGACAGAUGGGUUUACGACCUCGAUGUUGGAUCAGG